RNAcentral lists this ribosomal RNA (91 nucleotides) under uncultured bacterium. Its description in RNAcentral is "partial 16S ribosomal RNA". The record is from RNAcentral.
ACCGCCGUCACGCCAUGGAAGCCGGAGGGACCCGAAACCGGUGUGCCAACCGCAAGGGGCAGCCGUCUAAGGUCAAGUCGGUGACUGGGCG